This 118-nucleotide non-coding RNA is filed under the name Pseudonocardia sp. Lineage: Bacteria; Bacillati; Actinomycetota; Actinomycetes; Pseudonocardiales; Pseudonocardiaceae. The record is from RNAcentral.
UCCGCGCAGGUUAUGCUCGCUCCGAUCGGCUACGCGGGAACCCGGUGUGACUCCGGGGCGGUCCCGCCACUGUGACCCCGCACGGGGGAGCCAGACCUCGCGUCGCCCGUUGACCAGC